CCCACAUGAGCUUUUGCCCUUUUGGUUUUUUUGGACUUCAGGGGGGACCACACUGAAGGAAUUGGAAGAGAUCAUCUUCUCAGAUAACACCAUGACCAAUCUCUUGUCACCAAUUCACAGAUAAGGUGAUCUAAGACAUCCUACCCUCUUGGAAUCCCAGCCUCAGAUCGUUACAUUGAAGAAAAGAGAAAAAAAAAAUCCUAUUUUAUCUCGAUUAGAUAUUGCAUGGGAAGGUCAAAUGUUCUAUGUAAAUAUAAUAAAAUGAAAGAUGUGAUCUUUCCUUCAAUUACAUUUAUUUGCCAUGUACUCAAACAACAUAGUUGUACCUCCUUCCUCCUAACCCCACCACUUUUCAUAGAAUUCACAAUAAAAUUAAGUUCAAAUGAAGUUAUCUUUUGUAACAGUCCUUUACACAGGAAUCUAGGCUUGUUUCUGAAGUAUGUAUGGAAUGUUCUUUUUAUACCGACAACACAGUUUUUUAGGAACAAGUUUUUAUGAAGUAUAAAAAAGCAGACCUACUACGUUACAUUUAAGGGAGAAAAGGAAUUCACAGAAUUUACUGGCACAUGUUGCACACUUAUUAAAAAAAGUAAUAGAGGCAGUAUUGGGUUAGGGAUGAAAGAUUUGGACUCAGGAGACCUAUAUUUUAGGGUAACACCCUAUUAUAUAGUUGCUGUAUAACCAUAGGCAAGUCUUUUUUUUUAAACUCUCUGAGCCUCACUUUUCCUUGAUGUAAAAUUAGAAUACUUACUCUCCCUAUUUUGCAAGGUGGUCAUGAGCAAUAUAUAUAUAUAUAUAUAUAUAUAUGUAUGUAUAACAAAUUAAAAAUAAAAGCAGUUUUUGUAAGUCUUAGAAUCCUAUAUGAAUGUAAUUAUGGUCACAACUAGAAAUAGCUAAAAUUAAAGUUUCUUCAUGUUUUGCAAAUACUCCAAGUCAGAUGGAAGGAUGUUAUUAUGUUUCGUAAUGUGGUCCCAGAGACUCAGGAAGAUGGAUUUAAGUCUGCUUCUGACACCUCCAGUGUAAUUAUCUCUAGGCAAAUCACUUAAAUUUUCAGUGCUAUAGAUGAGUGGUUUUCAAACUUUUGUGCUCAGUAUAUCUUUAUACUAUUGCAAAUUAUUGCGAAUCUGUUUAAAGAGAUUUUGUUCAUAUGGGUUAUAUUUAUAGGUAUUUGCCGUUAUUAGAAAUAAAAACUAAUUUGCAUUUGUAGAUCUUCUGAAAGGAUUUCAUAGACUCCCAGUAUUUUCUAAACCACUGUCAAGAUAAUAGCUUGCAAAGCAGAUGCUUAUCUAGAAUGAUAAAGGAAUUUUCCAUCACCCAGGAGUUCCUUAUAUCAGUUUCCCUAUUACUAACUUUUUUCUCUUCUCAAAAAAAAAAAAUCAGUGUCAAGUUGGAAGUUCUGGAGAUCAUUUUGAAUUAGUAUACUAGAAAUAACAAAAUAAUGUAAGUAUAAUUCCCCUUUCCCAAAAUGUAGUUUAGAAUCACAAGAUGUGAAAGCUGGAAAGGACUUCAGGGGCCAUUUAAUCCAAUCUCUAACUAAACAACAGUUCUUUCUACAAUACAGAUACAAUACAAUACAAUACCAACUGCAUCCUGAAAAUCCUCUAAUGAUAGGAACACCAUUUCUUUUCAUAGCAGCCCAUUUCCUUUUGGACAGUAAUCAUUAUUAGAGGGUUUUCUUCAAUUUCUACCAAGUAUUAUUUUUGCCUAAAUCAAAGAAAAAUAAAACGUAUUCUCCCUUCUACACAAUGGCCCUGAAUAUCUUUUAAUAUGGACAAAAUAUUAUUGUAGGAAUCACAAAGUUUAAUGCCUGAUCCUGGGAAAGGUUUUUUUUCUCCUUUUGUUUUAUAAAUACAUCUCUCUGUGCUUCAACUUACUAAUCUGUAAACUGAAAGGGUUGACUUUGACAGUCACUAAGAUCCAUCCCUUCCACCUUUCAAUCUAUGAUGCUUUGAACCUCUUCAGUAGUUUAUUUUCUGCUAGGGCACAGUCUGCAAUCUCCUUAUCUUCUUGGUCAUUUUUCUCUGGAAAGCUCCAUUUUCUUGUUCUCCCUAAAGUUCGGUGCUUGAAUAUAAAUAAAAUCCUCAAGAACUGGUCCACCCAGGGUACAGUACAGUGAGAAUACUAACUCCUUUUAUUUUGAUAAUAUGCCUCUUAAUACCUUAGUAUAGUAUUAACAUUUUUGGUCGUCAUUCCACAUUACCUCAGUUUGAGUUUGCAAUUUGUAAAUUCCCAUAUCUUUUUCAUAUGAACCAUUGUGGCCAUAUUCCCCAUGCUAUAUCUGUGAUUUUUUGGAGCCAAAGGCAGAACUUUAUAUUUAUUUCUGUAAUAUUUUAUCUUACAAGUUUUG
Molecule: long non-coding RNA, 2347 nt
Filed under: Sarcophilus harrisii (Tasmanian devil)
Lineage: Eukaryota; Metazoa; Chordata; Mammalia; Dasyuromorphia; Dasyuridae
Description: lncRNA (ENSSHAG00000022573.1)
Source: RNAcentral